AAAACUCUCUCUGUAACUUCAGAUAUAAAACUUCAAAAUCUCAGAUUACAAUCUCCUUCUAGUUCUUAGUAUUAAAAACAAAACCCAAAAACAACAAAAAUAAGAGAAAAACCAAAUAAAAAAACUACCGUUUCAUCAAAAUUCUAGGUGGAUUUUAACUUUAGCUCUUGAUUUACAUUUUUUCCAGUUUAGUUUCUGAUAAUUUGAAGUUCCAGUGGUGAUGUUUGGUUGAUUUCGAGUGAGUUUGGGCUAGAUAAGUUGGUUUUAGGUUGAUUGGUGGCUUGUUAAGAGUUUCAGAAUAAUUUUAGUUCAAUUUCGAGUCUAUUUGGGUGCUUCAAUGGUAGAUUUGUUGCUGUGAUUCAUCUAUCCUUGGAUUUUUAAAUUUGCUUCUGAAUUUGCUGGGUCAACUGAUCAAUAUUGGGUUUUGGAACUUUCCUGGUUUGCUGAUUCCCUUUUCUGAGUUUGCUUACUGCUGCUGACUGCUCGUUCCUUUGUUCUAUUCCAAAAAUCAGGUACACAUUUGGAACUUAUGUAACUCAUCCAUGUAAUGAAAGUACAUUUGCUUCCUG
This 569-nucleotide long non-coding RNA is filed under the name Nicotiana benthamiana. Its description in RNAcentral is "long non-coding RNA (NBEN_LNC034840)". Lineage: Eukaryota; Viridiplantae; Streptophyta; Magnoliopsida; Solanales; Solanaceae. The record is from RNAcentral.